AGGGAAUCACCCCAGGGCUCAGCCACUUGUCCCUCCUGACUUUUGAAACGGCAUUUCUGGGGCAGUAGGGCUCCUGAGCCACUGCCCUAACCCUAAGUUGUCCCUACUGACAGCAGAUAUGUGACCUGGUUGCAAGAGACACGUGUUUGAGCUCAGGGUCCCUCUCACUUUUUGGAACACCCCUCACGGGAUUGCUGCCACUUUCUUCUACUGGGAGAACAUCCUAGAGGCUUCUCUGAGAAAGGAGGGGAGAUCUGGACACAGAGAGAAGGAGAGAAGUUGGCCACGUGAACACGAGGCAGGGAUGGCAGGUAAGCAGCUGCAAGAUAAGGAGCUGCUGGAAGCUAAAGGAGGCAGGAAGGACCCUCCGGAGCAUCCAGAGGUAGCAGGGCCCUGCUGACCCCCGGUUUCACACUUCUGGCCUCCGGGACUGCGAGAGAGUAAAUUUCCUGUUCUUUUAAGCCACCAAGUCGGUGUUAAUUUGUUGCAGUUGUCCUAGGAAACCGAGAGGAAUUUCCAGAAAUGAAAAAUAUAGUCUUUGUCAUAUCUCUACAAAGUUUACAGAAAAGCUUGCCAACCCCCUGCCCUAGAGCCUGGUGGUCAGAGGCAUCCGAGGACCCCUUGUCACAACCCUGUGGUCCCCUGGUGUCUGAGACUCACGAGUGGGCACCACUGAUGUAGAGAAGGGGUGGUCACUCCGAAUGCCCCCCAGGAGCCGGAAGUCAAGGUGGACCGAGGGGACCAAGGCCGACCGGAGCGGCCAAGCAGGAUGCAGCGUGCAGAAUGCAGUCUCAUAUUUAUCAAACGG
Molecule: long non-coding RNA, 808 nt
Filed under: Equus caballus (horse)
Lineage: Eukaryota; Metazoa; Chordata; Mammalia; Perissodactyla; Equidae
Description: lncRNA (ENSECAG00000051329.1)
Source: RNAcentral